AUGGUUUUUAUUUUGUUGAGUUUUUCUUUUGUUACAGGUGAUUUUAUAUCAAUGACUAAAAUGAACCAUGGAAGAAUGGUAAACAAAUGUUUCAGUCAAAUAAAAAUACACUUAAUUAAAACAGUCAAUUUAAAUACCCAGGAUAUAAAGUUGAUUUUUCCCUGUUGUGUUAAGUUACCUGCAGGUAAUGAUGGAGGCUACAGUGUGAUCACGUCAGUACCUGAUGACAACUGUCUUAAUAGAGAGAAACUAAACUUGGAACAGACAAAAAAUGAAGAUGUAAGUUAGACCUGGUGUAGUAAUAAAUAUGUCCGCUUCUCAUCUUAAUCAAUGCUAAUGACUAAAAGGUCAUUACUCUUUCUCUUCUAGUCUGACAUUUACCAUGUGUACGCCACCAUCUCUGAAGAAACAGAUCCACCAGAUUCACAGGACAUGAUAUACAGCAUGCUGAAUGCACACUGAAACACAGUGAAACAUUUUUGGUGACGUUGUUAGUAAAAUGUCUAAAAUGAUCUAAAUUAUGUCAAAGUGAGGAAAGUGUGACAAGUAAUAGAUGCAAUCUUGCAAAAAAAUCUUGAGAUUGAAUUGUUGUAGAUUUUUUUUGUAUUUAAAGAUAACUGACAUGAUGAUGAUUUCGGCUUUAGUAUUUUUAAUAAGGGCUCUUAGAUAUUUAUUGUUUUGUUUUAAAGUAAUUGUAAGUUGGAAGAUGACAGUCAAAACUCCUGAGUCAUUUCCAAGCUUAGAACAAUGUAUACUUUUCAGUGUAGGGAUCGUUACAAAAAAAGUAUUAUGUAUUACACAUUACUUUACUUUAAAAAAAAUAAAAUAAUGCAGUAUGUUCAUUGCCAGAGAAAGUAAUUUGUUACACUACUUGUUACAUUACUUUCUCAUCAUCAGUAAAAUGACCUGAAAUGCAAUGUCUCAUAAUUACCAAUUAAGAAUAUAGACUUUAGGCUAAAGUCCCACACACCAACACAAAUCCCUAUCCUAAUUAUAAAACACUCUUUCACAAAACCGACAACAAAAAGAAAAGAUGGAAACCAGCCCAAAGAGACUUCAAAGUGAUUGCAACACCAAUUCUACUGUAGAAAUACAAAGGGAUCUGGCAGCUCCAUCACUCUGGGUUCUUGGCUAGCUUUGUGUUAAUUUGCGCAGAUGCUUGCAAAAACAUUGUAGUUGUUUUUUUUCCUGGAUGCAGUUUCCACUUUACCAUGGUGCACUCCCCCUUUUGUGCAAUAAAAAUAAAGUUAGUGUGCAUAUCUUCACCUGUGAAAUGUUGUUGACUGUUCCCGUAUGUUCUUGUAAAGGCUUUACUUUAUAAGAACUGAUUCUAGUUUAGUUCAGUUGAAAUUUCUCAUAAAUCCUGUGCUUUGAAUGCCUAAAAAUGUAUCCAGACAUCUUCCAUUUUAACCAUGUACAAGAGCCAUGUAAGAAAUGGAAAACCAUAUUCAGUGAAACAAGCAAAUAAAUAAAUAAAUUAUAGAUUUACUAUUUUAUUUUGUUUCUUAAUGUUUAACAUAACUUUCUGUAACUGGAUACUGUAUGUGACUUACACAUUUACACAUGUAUCACAACACUUGCCACUGUAUUAUGUAUGGGGUUUUACAUAUAAACACUGUUCCAAGGCAAUCAGGUAAUGAGCAUCUCUUUUCAUGCUCAUAUGAGCGGCAUGAAGUUCCUCUUUCAAAACAUCUGUCACAGCCAGAAAGAUUUUCAGAGAGGAAUCUCUAUCAUUACUGAGGGCUAUGAAAUACAUCUCCCCUUAAUCUUAUCUGUACCCUGUCUGUUAUUGCACAACUUAAUAAAGCUGUUUAGUACUCAGAGUACUGAGAAUGUAUCUAUAUAAUACAACUCCAGUAUAUAAAUUUGUGUAGAUGAUGCUCUGCUACUCUGAGUUGUGACAAUAACAUUAGCAGUUCGUCUUUUGUUGCGUGCUGUGACUGCACACAGGCUUGUAAAAAUAGGCAACAUGCAAUUGACCCUCAGCCCACCAACCAGCUGCAGUUUUAAGGUCAGCACACAAAACCAUUUUAGGCCAAAGAGUAUGAUGGUGAAAAAAUACAGGAAGAAUAAUGUACUGUAGCUGGUUGCUGUACUGCACAGCUGCUACAGUUUGCCUAGUUGUAGUAACAUAAUCAUGUGACAUAAAACAUUUAUUGAUAAUAAUGAUACUUUGUAUCCACACAGGUAACAGAAGUAAAACAAUGGGGAAGAUCUGAAAUUUACAUUCAGGAAAUAGAGAUGUAUGUUUUUGGUUCUAGGUUUCAUUUGUAUGAAAUAUCACUGUGAGAUGUAUUAGAGAUAUGUAGUUUUUCAUUUUCCAUUUCUGGUUCCUGUUUAUUACACAUAAACUAACUCAGGUAAUAAGCCACAGUAUUUAUCGCGUAUUCUUUUUCUCUAGGAUAAAGAAAGUGCACACACACACACACACACACACACACACACACACAUACACAUACAUAUACACACACCUACCUGUGGUGGCUGAUAUUAUUAACACACACAUAGGUGUUAUUACACACUUUUAAUUAGCUGCUCUUUAUAUGUGUAGCUUUGUGGCCUCAAUAUGUGAUGAAGUACUUCUCCUGCCUCUUGUGGUUUUCCUGUGACCAACUGCUACAAAAUGAUUCAUCCCCUUCUGUGUCGUCAGAAACGUCAGAAUCUUCUUCUCAACAGAUGCCUUUGGUGUGCUGUCCUAAUGUGUAAGUUAAACAUCCUGCAGAUUUUGCAAUAUUUAAUGUGAUCUCUCAGCAUUCGUGGAAGUUCACAGUUGAAACAUAUAUUUUGCUAAAGUUAUUUCAGACUUAAUAAUAGAUUUAUUUAUGUUCUUGACAUAUAUUUUCAACAGUGUCCUUCCAUGUAAUUCAAGUACAAGGUCAGUCUCUGAUCUACUGUCUUUAUUGCUGAGUUGUGUCGUCACUGUAUGUUAUUCCAUGAUUAGUCUAUGAUUGGAUUGGGUAAUGUAUAACUGCUUAAAUGGGGAAAAAGACAAAAAAAAAAAAAGACACAGGUAUAUUAUGUGACAUAACAUCUAAGCAUUCAGUAUAACAUGUCUUGGUUUGAAACUGGCAAUGAAACAGCAGUGAUCACAGAAUUUGUUUUGUCAGAAUUUUUGCCUGCUGAUUUCACAUCAGAGUUCAUCUGCCAAAGUGUCAUGGUCUGGGUGAGUGAGAUGUUUUUUCAUAGAGCUGGGGCUCCACCUCCGGAUGGAGUCUCCAUUCAGCAGUCUCACCUGUCUGCAAUCAAGCUACCAGUAUUUAAGACCAGCACAUUCAACAAGUCUUCUCCAGAUCUACAGCUAACCAGUGUUAGUGUUAGGCUACAUUGAAAGUAGUAUUCUCACUUAACCUGUGUCUCUCUGUUCUAGUAACCCACCAGGUCACCAUGCUUCACUCUUGAGCAAUACUUACCUUCAUUAGGACGUCGGUCUUGCUGCAAUCACCCAGUCUGGUUACCCUCCAUUCCUCUCUACACAUCACCUGCCUUCCUUCCUGUCACGGCUUCUGGAACUCAUUUGGAUCUGGACUUUGACUCACCCCGGAUUGGAAACUCACCCGGACCUUUUUGGACUGCCCUCCUUCCACAUCGUUCUCCGCCUGCAACAAGUAAGCCAUUAGAAACACUUCCAGCCUUACUUACCAUUAAUCACUGGAACCCAGCUGACUCUCUGCACUCCUUUUGUUGCAGUCACUCUGCACUGCUUCACCCGAGCCACAGCCCCUCCUCCCCUUGGCCCUGUUCAUGGACUUUAGAAUUAACUUUAACUCAAAGAUUAAGCUUCGCGUUUUGACUUUUUAGGUUGUCUCGUAAGUUCUCAGUUCAUAGUCGACACCCUAAGGUUUAGUCUCACUUUGUAAAUAAAGCACUGUCUUCACAUCAGUUUGUGUCUCUGUCUCUGUCUCUGUCUGCAUUUGAGGCCUCUCACCUGGUCUGGCCACUCGGCCGUAACACAAAGUAGAAGUGAGACUUAGCCUUCUUAUUGACAAAAAGACAUUUCUAUAUUGUAUUUUAUUUGCCUUAAAAUCACCUAAAAUGACAAAAAAGAGUAUUGUUACAUUGCAGGUCAUGUAGAAUAUAAGUGAUAAUAUAGGGCUUUUGUGAAUGUCAAUAUGAUUUCAAAUACUAAUACAGAAUCUUAGUUUCCUUGAUUGCAGACUGAUGCAAAAUGUUUAAUGUAAGUUGUGUACAUUAAUCUUCAUGUAAGUCAAAAACUACAGAUGAUGGUUCAGCAUUUUAUUGGUAACCAAGUUAACUUCACUUGCUCUCUGCCUCGAUCUGUG
RNAcentral lists this long non-coding RNA (4280 nucleotides) under Oreochromis niloticus (Nile tilapia). RNAcentral's name for it is "lncRNA (ENSONIG00000031465.1)". Lineage: Eukaryota; Metazoa; Chordata; Actinopteri; Cichliformes; Cichlidae. The record is from RNAcentral.